CCAGCCCCCACCCAGGCGUCUCAAUUUUUGGUGACUGUGCCCGUAGUUCAGAUGGUCCGUUGGGUUCUUGAUCGGUUUUUCCGUACUCCGACUUACUGCUACACUCUUCUCUGCAUCUGGGGAUUCCUCCGGUUCAUUUGAUCUUUCGCCCGGUAGGUGACUUUCCAGGGUGCGGGAUCCCUUUCUCCUCCGCAGUUCCCUUUCGGGAGCGCCCGUCCCGCUCGGAUUCACUUUCUCUCACUCUCCUCUUUUCUCCCGUUCUGCCCAGUAAUGUCACGAACUUCUUGCCGUUAUUGGAGUUUAGGUUCCUCUGCCAGCGAUUGGUUGCUGUUCUGUGCGAGUCAUUUAUUCUGUAGAUGUGCUUUUUUUGUUGUGUUUGUGGGAGAGGGCGAGCGUGUCCCCCUACUCCUCCGCCAUCUUGUCCUCCCAAACUCUAAUUCUUAAAAGCAGUUGGAUUUCAACCAUCAGUACCUAGUCUUCUGUCCCUACAAAAUUUAUUUUUAACUUUGAGGGAAAACUAGUAGAAAUAAAUCUAUACUUGAUUUUGUCCAUAAGCACUUUCGUGCCUGCUUUUUAACUUGAAGGACUGGAUUUGUCAAAGGGAGAACCUUUGCCUUUUUUCAUUCUCAAGAGUUGAGAGGAGAAAAUAAAUUUUUCCAUCAACCUCUGCCCCACUAAUCCAAAUAAAGUGAUUUUUUAUGUUUUGAGGCAGCUGAACUUCUAAUCCACAGGUCAGACUUAGGCUAAAGAACAGACAAAUAAUUCAUGACACAUCCAUAUUAGCUGCCUCAUGCCAUUAUCACUGAGGGUGGUUUAUUGGGGGAGAUUCAAUCACAUCAGAACCCAAGGUUCAACUUGAAUAUAGUAUGAGCUCUCUUUGUCCAUAUUGAGCCAUUUCAACAUUCAUCAGAACUUUAAGCAAAUGUGUUGGUAUGAAAUUAUUUUAAAUCAGAAGUUCUCCUUUGGGCUGUAUAUUGUAUACUCACAUACAUAAAAAUGACACUGAUCUGAUUUGAUCAAGCGAUAUCAUAUUAUCUCAUUUCACACAACCUCAUGUCCUUCUCUUAAUUUCUCCAUAGCCUAAAAUUUUUUAUGACACCAUGCCCUUAUGGAUGCCAAUUUAAUCAACCCGCUCAACCUGGCCCUGUCUAACAAGCCUCACAGUAUUAAUUAUUCUGUCACAUUCAGAUAAGGAAAUUCAAGAAGGAGACCCAGGUACCUUAGGAGCUUGACAUGGAGGCCUAGGGUGUCCUCAUCAAUGGGGCCAGCAACCUAAUUCAUAGUAACUUUGAAAGACUCAAACUAUACCUCCAUCUCCAAAAUUAUCCCUCCUUUAUGCCCCAUAUCACUUUUAAGGUGUCAAUACCUAAUAGGGUUAGCCCUGGAAAAAGGGAAAGUAUCUACAUUUAAAAGAGAAGGUACUGCUUACUCCAAAGUUAACUCUUAGCUAGUCUGAGUGAAAGAAAUAAUUACUAUAACUUCCCACAGUUAUCACUCAUUCCUCUUUUUUAGCCACACCCACAGAAGUUCCCAGAGCAGGGAUCAAACACAGCAGUGACCCAAGCCACAGCAGUGACCCGAGCCACAGCAGUGACCCGAGCCACAGCAAUGACAAUACCAGACCCUUAACUGCUAGACCACCAGAGAACUGCCCUUCCUCUUCUUUCUUAGCAAUAAUAUCUGCUGGAAUAAGUCAUAUUUAGACAAAGAGUGAAUCAGCAUACCAUUUUUGGAGUAUUUGAAGCUAUAAGCAGUAAUUUUGAAAGGUUGAGGGUAUUUUUAAACUUCUUUUGGGGAGUUCCCUUCGUGGCUCAGUGGUUAACGAAUCCGACUAGGAACCAUGAGGUUGCAGGUUCGAUCCCUGGCCUUGCUCAGUGGGCUAAGGAUCUGGCAUUGCCGUGAGCUGUGGUGUAGGUUGCAGACGCAGUUCAGAUAUCUCGUUGCUGUGGUUCUGGCGUAGGCCGGUGGCUACAGCUCCAAUUAGACACCUAGCCUGGGAACCUCCAUAUGCUGUGGGUGCAGCCCUAGAAAAGACAAAAAAUAAACUUCUUUUGGGUUACACAUAAUGCCUAAAACCAAAAGGUUACAUUUUACUAAGCUAAAUGCUUCUUCAAACAGAAUCUGUUUUGGUGUUCCUUUGUAGGUUAAGGAUCCAGCAUUGUCACUGCAGCAGCCCAGGUCAUUGCUGUGGCAUGGGUUCAAUCCCUGGCCUGGGAAUUUCCACAUGCCACAGGCCAAAAAAAUUUAUACUGAAAAUUCUACUAAAAUUACUGUGAAAAUUUCCACGGUAUGAAAGUAAAUUAGUUAACUAAGAGAGUGAAAAACAUAAGAAAUUCUGGGCCAAUCUCAGGUAUAUUCCAUUCAAGAUUCUCUCUACGUCAAGGUAUUCAGAGACAAUUCAUGAAAACUAUGGCAGCAGUCCCACAAUUUUUCAACAAAACCUCCAUAAAUUAAUCAUGAAUUAAUCUAAAUUAACAGGUGGUUCUUAAUUGGAGGUGGAGGGUUUAACCCUUUGGAGAAGCUACAAUUCAUCUAAACUAGUUCUUCACUCUUUGGAAAUUGAAAAUCUCAGGAAGGCUAUGAACUUUAUCCAAGAAAACAGGUGAAGGUGUGUGCGUGUGUGUGUGUGUGUGUGCAUGAACACACACAUAUACACACACACUACAGAUAACCACUUGUGUAUAUGAAGUCAUGGAGUUUAGAGAACUGGCUUAAGAAUUGCUCUGCAGAGAAUUAUCUCAUAAUGGCCCUAUUCUAUUACAGAAUAGAAAUGGAUAAACACAGUCAGUUUUUAAGAUAACUAAGAAAACUAUAUUUGAUAGCAGCACAUAUAAAAAAAUACAUGACUGGAAAAAUAAACCAUGUACACUAUACAUUCAUCAUAGAGUGAAAAAAAGUCUGGCCUUUGAAAAUGAUCAUAAACUAGAUGAACUUGGCCUUAAGAGAGGCCAGAAGGGGGUUCCCGUAGUGGUGCAGUGGUUAACUAAUCUGACUAGGAACCAUGAGGUUGUAAGUUCGAUCCCUGGCCUUGCUCAGUGGGUUGAGGAUCCGGUGUUGCCGUGAGCUGUGGUGUAGGUUGCAGACGCGGCUCAGAUCCCACAUUGCUGUGGCUGUGGUGUAGGCCGGUGGCUACAACUCCAAUUAGACCCCUAGCCUGGGAACCUCCAUAUGCCGCGGGAGCGGCCCAAGAAAUGGCAAAAAUACAAAAAAAAAAAAAAAAAAAAAA
RNAcentral lists this long non-coding RNA (3226 nucleotides) under Sus scrofa (pig). RNAcentral describes it as "lncRNA (ENSSSCG00035052743.1)". The record is from RNAcentral. Lineage: Eukaryota; Metazoa; Chordata; Mammalia; Artiodactyla; Suidae.